Molecule: RNA transcript, 2868 nt
Organism: Cryptotermes secundus
Lineage: Eukaryota; Metazoa; Arthropoda; Insecta; Blattodea; Kalotermitidae
Gene name: zinc finger protein 501-like
Exons: 3
Source: RefSeq, a predicted model, not a curated record
UUGCUCGGUCGGUAUAGUUUGCUUGCGGACUAAAACCACAUAGUUUUUCUUUUGUUGUUUUUAGUAGUAUUGCAUUUGUUUCAAAGCAAAUUAUGAGCUUUUUAUCUGGUAAAUUGGAACGUUUCAGUAAGAUUUACUGUUUCUCAGAUGUUGCUGUCAUGAAGUAUAAAAACAGGAGGAGUUUCUGAGGACAGAAACCAUUCUUCUUACAGCUAUAUUCAUAAAAGGGACAGUGAUUAUACAAUUCAAUAAUUUAACCAACAUGUACAAUUCAUCAACUAGACAUUAAUGCCUUAUUAAGCUCAUUCCUUAAAAAUAUAUGUACAAAUAUCAAUUGAAAGUCUUUUAUACAGUAUACCAUAUAAACAGCAUCAUAAAAAGCUUAGUUCAUCUUGUAUUUAAAAUACUCAUCCAACGUGUAGAAUGAAUGGGAAUACAAGAAAUUUUUAAAAUAAUCAGUUCUUGCAUAAAAUUUAUUUUCUCUUCAUUUAUUAAUUAAUCUGUUAUAUUGGAGGAAGUCUACACCACUUCUGACAUGCUGUCAAUGAAAUUUGUUGUCAAUAAAUUAUUAGUGAAUUUUUUAUUGCUAAUAACAUCAAAGAUUGAAUAAAUGGUGUCUUUUUUCAUACAGGUCAGUGCUGGAGAUGGUUUGCCUGCCCAGGUAUGUCAGCAGUGUGUUGAACUGGUCAAUACUUGUUACAACUUUAAACUGCAGUGUGAGAAGUCAGAUAUGAUGUUAAGAUGUCAUGUUAGCAUUCACUCUCAAUGUGAACAGCAGGAUGAAGGGCAUGUAAAACUUAAGGACCCUCCUAGGGUGGUUGAUGGUGACAGUGCUGCUUCAUCAUUAUCAGCUACUAACUCAACACCAGAAUUCAAACAUAAAGAAGAUAAGCCAGAACAAAUAUACAUCAGAAAGUCAAAGGCAGGGUUUAAUCUAGCAAGGUGUUCAGAAAAAGGAACAAGAUCACUUCAUACACACAGUGCUUAUGAUGUGAAUACUGAGAAUUCCGACAGUAAAAAAAACAAGUCACUUCAAAAACAAGUUUCUCAUUGUUCAGGAGAUGUAAAAGGAGCUAUAGAGAAUGGCCAUAAGCUAGUCCAAAGUAUACAUAAACAUCAUUAUGAAAAUUUUAACAUUUUCACAAAGAUAUCUGGAAAGAUUUUGAAGGUAAAAUCCCAUGUUACUGUUCCUGCAAAGUACCGGCCAUGUGAAGUGUGUGGUAAAUCUGUACAAAAGUUGAAUCUACACAUGAAGAUGCAUACAGGUGAGAAACCAUACCAGUGUUCCAUUUGUGGUCAGAGGUUUAUUCAGAAAAGUAGCUUACAGAAACAUGACACUCUACAUACAGGGGAGCGGCCAUAUAGUUGUAGUCUGUGUAGUAAAACAUUUAGGUGCAAGUCUGAUUUAAACCAACACACUAAGUUACACACAGGGCAUGCACACAAAUGUGCCAUAUGUGAAAAGGAAUUUACAACUCGUCAGAAUUUGGACAGUCACAUAAGGACCCACACAGGAGAGAAGCCAUAUCUGUGUCAUGCAUGUGGUAUGCACUUCGCACAGAAAGGGGCAUUAACUAAGCAUUCCAGGAUCCAUGCCAAUGAUCGUCCUCACCAGUGUUCAGUAUGUAACAAAAGGUUUAUCACUCAAAGUGCUCUUACCCUUCAUUUUAGAAUCCACACUGGAGAGAAACCUUAUACAUGCGCAACAUGCCAGAAGUCUUUUACUGACAGAGGGUAUUUUAUGCGACAUCUUAUGAUACACUCUGGUGAAAGGAGCUUUGUGUGUUCAGUCUGUGGGAAAGCGUUCACACAACAGAUUAGUUUGAAGAGACAUGUAAGACUUCACACUGGAGAGAAGCCUUUCCACUGUUAUUGUGGGGAAAGUUUUGCCUUGAAACGUGAUCUAAAACGACAUAGUGAGCGAUUUCAUGAAGGAAACAAUUUCCAAUAAAUGUUUUCUUUGUGUCUGGGCACAUAUGGUAUAAAGGAGGCAGGGUAGCUCAAGUUGGUAUAGUGACCAGGUUACAGGGUCUGUCUCUCAACAGGGGCAAGAAGGUAUGCUUAUCUGCAUAGUGUCCAGACUGGCUCUGGGUCCCAACCAGCCUCCUAUCCACUGGGUACUGGGUGCACUCUCCCACGGGUAAAGUGGCAAGGGCAUGAAGCUGACCAAUCACAUGCAACUAGUGCUGAGGUGAAGAAUGGUGGAGGUAUACCUCUGCUUCGCCAUAUGCCUUCAUGGCAUAUUGCUUAAAAGGACAAUAGAGUGGAAUCACAUCAUACACAUAUUUAACUUCCAUGAAUUGAACCAUAUGUGCUUGUGCCCCCCCCUCCCCAGAUUACAAAAUGGAAAUUUAAAUACCACAGGCAAUAUCUGACCACCCCCAAAGUAGUGUUGUCAGGGGCAGAAGAAGACUAUCGUCAGAUUAUCCAUGAUGACUGGUGUAUGUUCAGGCUAAUUGUUUUCCUUUCUUAUUUUCAGUCUUUUGUCUGUUGCUAUAUUUUGUAUGAAAUUAAAAUGAUACAUUUCCCUUAUAUAUUGUCACAUGUAGGGUGGUACGUGCAACAGAAAUGCCGGGUUAAAAUUUGGAUGAUUGGAUUUAUUAGCAGCUUGGACACGCCCUCUUUUAAUCACACUCAAAUUACAGCACUAUCGCUGAUUUACACACACUUCAUAAUUCGCUGUUGCAUGCAUACUAUGAUUCCCAGUCUUCACAGGUCUUCUACGAACUUCCCGUGGCUGUCUCCUAUCAAGAACUCUGUCACUUAAACAAUCUGAAAUACUCUGAAACACUGAAACCUGUUCAAAGUCACAUUGUGACUUACGGUCAGUCAGUCAGUAAGUCUUGGUGUCGAGACCCAUCUAGGGCU